UAAGGAAUUUUUCGCAAUGGGGGCAACCCUGACGAAGCAACACAGCGUGAAGGAUGAAGGCCUUUUGGUUGUAAACUUCUUUUUUGAGGGAAUAAAUAUGAAGGUACCUCGAGAAUAAGCAUCGGCUAACUACGUGCCAGCAGCCGCGGUAAGACGUAGGAUGCAAACGUUAUCCGGAAUUAUUGGGCGUAAAGAGUUCGUAGACGAAUUGUUAAGUAGGAAGUUAAAGCCUAGUGCUUAACACUAGUAAGGCUUUCUAAACUGGCAAAAUAGAGUAUAGCAGAGGCAAGUGGAAUUCUGUGUGUAGGGGUAAUAUCCGUAGAUAUACAGAGGAACACCAAAAGCGAAGGCAGCUUGCUGGGCUAUUACUGACGUUCAAGAACGAAAGCGUGGGGAGCAAACAGG
This 405-nucleotide ribosomal RNA is filed under the name uncultured bacterium. RNAcentral describes it as "bacterial SSU rRNA". It matches the Rfam family "Bacterial small subunit ribosomal RNA", at positions 355 to 776 of the family's 1533-position model. The record is from RNAcentral.